This 253-nucleotide ribosomal RNA is filed under the name uncultured bacterium. Its description in RNAcentral is "partial 16S ribosomal RNA". It matches the Rfam family "Bacterial small subunit ribosomal RNA", at positions 524 to 776 of the family's 1533-position model. The record is from RNAcentral.
UACGGGGGGGGCAAGCGUUGUUCGGAAUUACUGGGCGUAAAGGGCUCGUAGGCGGCCAACUAAGUCAGACGUGAAAUCCCCAGGCUCAACCUGGGAACUGCGUCUGAUACUGGUUGGCUUGAAUCCGGGAGAGGGAUGCAGAAUUCCAGGUGUAGCGGUGAAAUGCGUAGAUAUCGGGAGGAACACCAGUGGCGAAGGCGGCUUCCUGGCCUGUUCUUGACGCUGAGGCGCGAAAGCUAGGGGAGCAAACGGG